RNAcentral lists this transfer RNA (65 nucleotides) under Dipodomys ordii (Ord's kangaroo rat). It matches the Rfam family "tRNA". Rfam says of the family: Transfer RNA (tRNA) molecules are approximately 80 nucleotides in length. Their secondary structure includes four short double-helical elements and three loops (D, anti-codon, and T loops). Lineage: Eukaryota; Metazoa; Chordata; Mammalia; Rodentia; Heteromyidae. The record is from Rfam by way of RNAcentral.
GGUGGCUCACUGGUAGAGUGCUUGCCUUGCAUGCAUGAGGCCCAAGGUUCAAUUCCUCAGCACCA